RNAcentral lists this transfer RNA (72 nucleotides) under Candidatus Sungbacteria bacterium RIFCSPHIGHO2_01_FULL_47_32. RNAcentral's name for it is "tRNA-Phe". It matches the Rfam family "tRNA". Rfam says of the family: Transfer RNA (tRNA) molecules are approximately 80 nucleotides in length. Their secondary structure includes four short double-helical elements and three loops (D, anti-codon, and T loops). The record is from RNAcentral. Lineage: Bacteria; Candidatus Sungiibacteriota. RNAcentral also lists the same sequence under 3 other names.
GCCGCGGUAGCUCAGUGGUAGAGCGCAAGCCUGAAGAGCUUGGCGUCGUCAGUUCGAUUCUGACCCGCGGCA